RNAcentral lists this ribosomal RNA (497 nucleotides) under uncultured bacterium. RNAcentral describes it as "partial 16S ribosomal RNA". It matches the Rfam family "Bacterial small subunit ribosomal RNA", at positions 28 to 507 of the family's 1533-position model. The record is from RNAcentral.
GAUGAACGCUGGCGGCGUGCCUAAUACAUGCAAGUCGAGCGAACAGACGAGGAGCUUGCUCCUCUGACGUUGGCGGCGGACGGGUGAGUAACACGUGGAUAACCUACCUAUAAGACUGGGAUAACUUCGGGAAACCGGAGCUAAUACCGGAUAAUAUAUUGAACCGCAUGGUUCAAUAGUGAAAGACGGUUUUGCUGUCACUUAUAGAUGGAUCCGCGCCGCAUUAGCUAGUUGGUAAGGUAACGGCUUACCAAGGCGACGAUGCGUAGCCGACCUGAGAGGGUGAUCGGCCACACUGGAACUGAGACACGGUCCAGACUCCUACGGGAGGCAGCAGUAGGGAAUCUUCCGCAAUGGGCGAAAGCCUGACGGGGCAACGCCGCGUGAGUGAUGAAGGUCUUCGGAUCGUAAAACUCUGUUAUUAGGGAAGAACAAAUGUGUAAGUAACUAUGCACGUCUUGACGGUACCUAAUCAGAAAGCCACGGCUAACUACGUG